CCCUGCCCCCGCUGCUCGGGGACCAUGGGAUGCUGCACCGGCCGCUGCACCCUCAUCUUCCUCUGCACUUUGCAGCUGCUUGCUGCACUAGAGAGGCAAGUGUUCGACUUCCUGGGAUACCAGUGGGCCCCUAUCCUCGCCAACUUCCUGCACAUCAUCAUCGUUAUCCUGGGGCUGUUCGGCACCAUCCAGUACAGACCUCGCUACAUCGUGGUGUAUGCCAUCUGGACUGCAGUCUGGGUCACCUGGAACAUCUUCAUCAUCUGCUUUUACUUAGAAGUGGGAGGGCUCUCAAAGGACAGCGAACUCCUGACAUUCAACAUCUCCCGGCACCAAUCCUGGUGGAGUGAAAAUGGCCCUGGCUGUGUAAGGAAGGAGGCUUCAAUGUCUGGCCUCAAGGGGCUGGAUAACCAUUCCUACAUCUCUGUCAUCGGCUGUGCCCUGGAGUACCGGUACAUCGAGGUCAUGCACAGCUCCUUCCAGAUCCUCAUCGCGCUGGUGGGUUUUGUGUAUGCCUGUUACGUGGUUAGUGUUUUUACAGAAGAAGAAGACAGCUUUGAUUUCAUUGGUGGAUUUGAUCCAUUUCCUCUCUACCAUGUCAAUGAAAAACCCACCAACCUUUUGUUCAAGCAGACAUACCUGUAGACUUUUUCCCAAACAAACAACAUGAAUUUGCAAACUCUUUUGAUCAUCCUGAAGCUGCAUGCAUAAGAGGCCUGCGUAAGUGAAGAGGAGCCAGAGGAUGGAUAAACCUUGCACUCCACCAAAGGUGCUGCAGGAAACAGUCCCCUGGGGCCUGGAUCUUUGGCAGAGGAAAUGCAGGAUGGUGAACUCCAUUCCAUUUUUUUGUUCCUUGUCUUCUUUCCAAACGCAAUGAAUGUACAUCAAAGAAUGGCCACACAGUUGGUUUUUAAUUAAUUCUCCAAGUGCCCUGACGAACCUUUCCUACCACAGUCUGCUGGUACUGGCCCAGAAAUGGCACAGGCCUAAAGACCUCUGGCAGAACAAGUUCACCAAGAGCCUCUCCCAAGAGCUACAGGUGAAGUCGGAGCUGCUUCCUUGCGCCGUGGAUCCCGAAGGAAGGAAGCAGCGCGUAACCUCCUGGGACAUUUCGUAUGUUCUGUAGUUAGUUUCCUCCCCUUUUUCUGAACAGAGCCUAAAUCCCCUAACACAACUUCAUCUCCUCCCUGCCUGUAUAAAAAUGAGGUGGGGGCUCUUCACACUUGAGUUCCUUAGGCAUUGUUGGGUUCUAAGUUAUAGAUGAGAACUUUUCCCUUCUGUGUCCCGCCCGUGCAGGAGCCCUUGCUCGUUCUCCGUAGGCAUGGCAGUAGGCAUUUGUCCUGAGUUCAGUCUCUGUGGCCUAACUCCCGUAAUGCUGAACAGCUGAAAACUAGUCCAGCCGUCAGCUCUUCACUCAGCAUGCAGCUUCACCCCGUUUCAACCACCUGAGCCAUUCUUGGAGCAGCUGUAGCUUACUCUGGGUCUGCCCAGCUACAUGAAAUUAACCCUGGUGUAGCUGAAUCCUGCCACAGGCCGCUGGAAAAGGCCAGUUCCUCAUGGAUCAGAGGUGGGUUUGCACCUGCCUUCUUCACCUUGAGCCACACCUAUUCCAUGGUAACAGCCUGAUGGAAGAGUUUCAUUUGUGACAGGCUUUUUGAGGGGAGGGAAAGGGCUGAAGGGGGAAUGAGAGUGUAAUUAAAUUGCAUUAAUGAGCUGCAGCAAUUAAUAAGAAGAACAAAACCAAGUCAGUUUUGUUAGCUGUGUCUCCCAGCAUGUUAAGUGUCAAAAGCAGAAAAGGAGCAGUUGUCAGCCAGCCCUGGCAUUUUUGGGCUGGUACUUCAAGUGCUGUUGUAAUUCAUUAUUGUCUUGCCUAAUUUGUUUGGGAUUACUUGGCAUUUUUUGAGAAAUGCUUUUCAGAAGGGUCAAGCUCGAAGCCAUGCUAGGGAGAAGUGUGAGGGAAGAAUUAAGAAAAAAAAAAAAGAAAAUAAAAACAUUAAGUGCUAAAUCAAAGACAGAAUUAUGCAGGUUUUUUUGUCUCAUUCCAAAGGGCCCCAGAAGAAAAAUCCUGUUUUAUAAACCCAGAUGUAUAAGUGCUGAGUAUUUUUUGCUUCUGUGUGACUUCUAUUCCAGAUACCCAGACAUCCUGAGCUCUGCUUGGGUGCAGCUGCAAGUAAAAAUGUUGUUUUCUGUAGGGUGUUUUUCCCCUUCUUUUAGCCACCAAAAGCCACAGCUUCUGACUGAGCAAAACAACAACUAGUUUCAUCAUAGUUUAAUACCUUUAGAUGGUAAGAGGAGGAAACUUCUGGAAUUGAGGUCUGCAUGUUUUUAACACUACACCUCUCCACCUGACCAAGCUCUGAUGCCACUUUCAGCAAUAAAACUGGUCAAAACUGCUUGCCAAGAACUCUAAAGAGAUAAAGCACCAAACUAUGCACUUAACAGCAUUGCCCCUUGGUUUUAACACACACUGGUAAAGAUCAAUGAAAUAAAAGUGUGAUGACUGAGUCACUUCAGAACUACCA
RNA transcript from Cyanistes caeruleus (blue tit), 2522 nucleotides. It is a transcript of the gene named sodium/potassium transporting ATPase interacting 4, with no coding region annotated. The record is from RefSeq and is a predicted model, not a curated record. Lineage: Eukaryota; Metazoa; Chordata; Aves; Passeriformes; Paridae.